Molecule: ribosomal RNA, 617 nt
Filed under: uncultured bacterium
Lineage: Bacteria
Description: bacterial SSU rRNA
Rfam family: Bacterial small subunit ribosomal RNA
Source: RNAcentral
CCUACGGGAGGCAGCAGUGGGGAAUUUUGGACAAUGGGCGAAAGCCUGAUCCAGCAAUGCCGCGUGUGGGAAGAAGGCCUUCGGGUUGUAAACCACUUUUGUACGGAACGAAACGGUUCGCUUUAAUACAGUGGGCUAAUGACGGUACCGUAAGAAUAAGCACCGGCUAACUACGUGCCAGCAGCCGCGGUAAUACGUAGGGUGCGAGCGUUAAUCGGAAUUACUGGGCGUAAAGCGUGCGCAGGCGGUUAUAUAAGACAGUUGUGAAAUCCCCGGGGCUCAACCUGGGAAUUGCAUCUGUGACUGUAUAGCUAGAGUACGGUAGAGGGGGAUGGAAUUCCGCGUGUAGCAGUGAAAUGCGUAGAUAUGCGGAGGAACACCGAUGGCGAAGGCAAUCCCCUGGACCUGUACUGACGCUCAUGCACGAAAGCGUGGGGAGCAAACAGGAUUAGAUACCCUGGUAGUCCACGCCCUAAACGAUGUCAACUGGUUGUUGGGUGCAUUAGUACUCAGUAACGAAGCUAACGCGUGAAGUUGACCGCCUGGGGAGUACGGCCGCAAGGUUGAACUUAAGGAAUUGACGGCUGAGACCGNGCGAGACGACGACGAGGGAGAGG